UUCACUUACACAUUUCUCAUUACAUAUCAAAACAACAUUCUUUGUUGUUAUAUUUGACAACUAUGGAUGGGAGUAGCAUGUUUUGAGUAAAUAAACCCCUCAUACUGGAUCUACAGAAACCCCUGAUACAAAAUGUUCAGAAUUCAGAAUUCCAUCCAAAUAAGUAUUUCUUACUUAAAUACUUAAAAACACAUUCCGUCUCACCUGAUUAUAUUUGAACAAAAUCAAAAAUCAACAGGUGAAUGCUGGGCGGCUAACAUGCUAAAUGGUGACAUGCUAACGGGGCGGUGAGCAGCUUUCUGCGGCUCUGACUGCGCGAGAGGCGGGAGCAGCGAGCAACAUCGAUACCUGAUGACGAGUGUGAAAGAACCACCGGAGAAGCUGAUCUGUGCAAAGUGAAUCCAGACAGGCCUGCCGUUGUAGUUCACCCAGCGGCCACCGCGAGGCAGUCUAGCCACACUCUUGACCUCGGCAGACUGUUUAAUCCAGAAGGCUGUUGCAACUCAUGCUGACCAGCCGCGCCUCAAGGGUUCCCUCUCCUCCUCCUCCUGCUGCUGUCGCCUCCUUUUGAAAAGCAGGUGUGAGAGUGUGAGUGGACUGGACGGCCCUUUUGGGGGGACAGGCACUGACCCCAAACCGGGAGUCUCCUGGACCGCUCAGCCCUCAUCAAAUACUCCUCCUGAUCCCUGAAACGAACCGUUUGUGGAAUCCAUCUCCGGGACCACAUAAGCCAACCAUCAGCUGGGGUGGUCCACGCCGCAGGAAGAGCAGCUCUCAGUUCCCACAGGAUGCGUCUUGCAACAUUGAGCUUUGGAUCCAGACCUUCGAAAACAACCAACUAUGGAAAAAAAAAAUCAUCUCACAGAGUUCUGUUUGUCUUUGUGAAAAAUGACCUUUUAAAAAACGGUCGAUUAGCUGCGCUCGAGUAAUUGACGGCCCAUUAUUAUUUGUGUGGGUCACAAACACAAAGAAACACUUACACCUAGUAAAAAAGAACACACUCUGCUCGACAUCAAAUGCUUCUGCUAAAAUGGGGAGGAAGGGGGGUGAGAGCGUGUGAUGCGUAGGCUGUGUUUGCAACCUCUCGGGUCCCGGCUGGUCGGCGCGGGUUCACCCAGCGGUCAACGGUUCUGACGUCUCCGGGUCUUGGGUCUUUUUGAAAAAGAUCCGUGAAGCAGAAUUAAAGUGAUCUUCCUCCGGACGAGGGACCACAAGGGCUUUGGGUCUUUGGAACAGGGAGGGGGAGACAUACAGAGGGGAGGAGAAGGGGUGAGUGAGUGUGUUCCCUUGCCCUGACUAAAUGGCUCGCCUUCUGUGCGGCCCGUCCCUGGUUUGAGGGCAGCAAAGAGGAACCUGAAGCUGGCAUGUAGAAAACACACUGUAUACGCGGUGAAAUGUGUUCAGCAUGUUCUUUUUAUUAGUAUUAUAUUUCACGAUUUUCCCCUCUUAUAAACCUUGAUGAGAAAUGGAAAAAAGAACGUGAUUAGCAUGGAAAUAAUGUGCUUGAGAUGAAAGAAAAUUAAGCUUGUUGAAGUGAAUGUCUGUCAGGGAAACGGUUAUUUUGUUUUUGCCUUCAAUUCCUGGAGCCAUUGCCUCCCCUCCAGACACUUUUAUAAUGUUAGAAUAAUAAAAGUUUUUAAAGACCUGUUAUGAAACACCAUCCUGCAAACAGAUUUCCUCAGUAAUUUUCCUCAAUAUUGCUCAGAUCUCAUUGCUAUUCAUCAGCGGACGAAUUACAGGUUUACAAAUACAGCAUCUACUGUCUCC
Gasterosteus aculeatus aculeatus (three-spined stickleback) is the source of this 1767-nucleotide long non-coding RNA. The record is from Ensembl. NCBI's taxonomy places the organism in Eukaryota, Metazoa, Chordata, Actinopteri, Perciformes, Gasterosteidae.